RNAcentral lists this ribosomal RNA (2931 nucleotides) under Proteus mirabilis. RNAcentral's name for it is "23S ribosomal RNA". It matches the Rfam family "Bacterial large subunit ribosomal RNA". The record is from RNAcentral. Lineage: Bacteria; Pseudomonadati; Pseudomonadota; Gammaproteobacteria; Enterobacterales; Morganellaceae.
GGGUUGUGAGGUUAAGCGAAUAAGCGUACACGGUGGAUGCCUAGGCAAUCAGAGGCGAUGAAGGACGUGCUAAUCUGCGAAAAGCGUCGGUAAGGUGAUAUGAACCGUUAUACCCGACGAUAUCCGAAUGGGGAAACCCAGUAUCCAAUGGAUACUAUCAUUAACUGAAUCCAUAGGUUAAUGAGGCGAACCGGGAGAACUGAAACAUCUCAGUACCCCGAGGAAAAGAAAUCAACCGAGAUUCCCUAGUAGCGGCGAGCGAACGGGGAGCAGCCCAGAGUCUUAAUCAAUGGCAGUGUCAGGAGAACGGUCUGGAAAGUCCGGCAGUAAAGGGUGAUAGCCCCGUAUCUGAAGAUGCUGUUAUUGUGAACUCGACGAGUAGGGCGGGACACGUGUUAUCCUGUCUGAAUAUGGGGGGACCAUCCUCCAAGGCUAAAUACUCCUGAUUGACCGAUAGUGAACCAGUACCGUGAGGGAAAGGCGAAAAGAACCCCGGCGAGGGGAGUGAAAAAGAACCUGAAACCGUGUACGUACAAGCAGUAGGAGCCUCUUUAUGGGGUGACUGCGUACCUUUUGUAUAAUGGGUCAGCGACUUAUAUUCUGUAGCAAGGUUAACCGCAUAGGGGAGCCGUAGGGAAACCGAGUCUUAACUGGGCGAAUGAGUUGCAGGGUAUAGACCCGAAACCCGGUGAUCUAUCCAUGGGCAGGUUGAAGGUUGGGUAACACUAACUGGAGGACCGAACCGACUAAUGUUGAAAAAUUAGCGGAUGACUUGUGGAUGGGGGUGAAAGGCCAAUCAAACCGGGAGAUAGCUGGUUCUCCCCGAAAGCUAUUUAGGUAGCGCCUCGUGAACUCAUCUUCGGGGGUAGAGCACUGUUUCGACUAGGGGGUCAUCCCGACUUACCAACUCGAUGCAAACUGCGAAUACCGAAGAAUGUUAUCACGGGAGACACACGGCGGGUGCUAACGUCCGUCGUGAAGAGGGAAACAACCCAGACCGCCAGCUAAGGUCCCAAAGUCAUGGUUAAGUGGGAAACGAAGUGGGAAGGCUCAGACAGCCAGGAUGUUGGCUUAGAAGCAGCCAUCAUUUAAAGAAAGCGUAAUAGCUCACUGGUCGAGUCGGCCCGCGCGGAAGAUGUAACGGGGCUAAACCAUGCACCGAAGCUGCGGCAGCGACACAAUGUGUUGUUGGGUAGGGGAGCGUUCUGUAAGCCUGCGAAGGUGUACUGUGAGGUAUGCUGGAGGUAUCAGAAGUGCGAAUGCUGACAUAAGUAACGAUAAUGCGGGUGAAAAACCCGCACGCCGGAAGACCAAGGGUUCCUGUCCAACGUUAAUCGGGGCAGGGUGAGUCGACCCCUAAGGCGAGGCUGAAAAGCGUAGUCGAUGGGAAACGGGUUAAUAUUCCCGUACUGGUGGUAACUGCGAUGGGGGAACGGAGAAGGCUAGGUUGUCCGGGCGACGGUUGUCCCGGUUCAAGCAGGUAGGCAGAGUGAUUAGGCAAAUCCGGUCACUUAAUGCUGAGAUGUGAUGACGAACCACUAAGGUGGUGAAGCAAUUGAUGCCCCGCUUCCAGGAAAAGCCUCUAAGCUUCAGGUUACCAACAAUCGUACCCCAAACCGACACAGGUGGUCAGGUAGAGAAUACUCAGGCGCUUGAGAGAACUCGGGUGAAGGAACUAGGCAAAAUGGUGCCGUAACUUCGGGAGAAGGCACGCUGGCGGUAGGUAAAGUCCCUUGCGGACGGCGCUGAAGCCAGUCGAAGAUACCAGCUGGCUGCAACUGUUUAUUAAAAACACAGCACUGUGCAAACACGAAAGUGGACGUAUACGGUGUGACGCCUGCCCGGUGCUGGAAGGUUAAUUGAUGGGGUCAGCCGCAAGGCGAAGCUCCUGAUCGAAGCCCCAGUAAACGGCGGCCGUAACUAUAACGGUCCUAAGGUAGCGAAAUUCCUUGUCGGGUAAGUUCCGACCUGCACGAAUGGCGUAAUGAUGGCCAGGCUGUCUCCACCCGAGACUCAGUGAAAUUGAACUCGCUGUGAAGAUGCAGUGUACCCGCGGCAAGACGGAAAGACCCCGUGAACCUUUACUAUAGCUUGACACUGAACAUUGAGCCUUGAUGUGUAGGAUAGGUGGGAGGCUUUGAAGUGUGGACGCCAGUCUGCAUGGAGCCAACCUUGAAAUACCACCCUUUAACGUUUGAUGUUCUAACCUAGGCCCGUGACCCGGGUCGGGGACCGUGUCUGGUGGGUAGUUUGACUGGGGCGGUCUCCUCCUAAAGAGUAACGGAGGAGCACGAAGGUUGGCUAAGCAUGGUCGGACAUCAUGCGGUUAGUGCAAAGGCAUAAGCCAGCUUGACUGCGAGAGUGACGGCUCGAGCAGGUACGAAAGUAGGUCUUAGUGAUCCGGUGGUUCUGAAUGGAAGGGCCAUCGCUCAACGGAUAAAAGGUACUCCGGGGAUAACAGGCUGAUACCGCCCAAGAGUUCAUAUCGACGGCGGUGUUUGGCACCUCGAUGUCGGCUCAUCACAUCCUGGGGCUGAAGUAGGUCCCAAGGGUAUGGCUGUUCGCCAUUUAAAGUGGUACGCGAGCUGGGUUUAGAACGUCGUGAGACAGUUCGGUCCCUAUCUGCCGUGGGCGUUGGAAGAUUGAGAGGGGUUGCUCCUAGUACGAGAGGACCGGAGUGAACGCACCACUGGUGUUCGGGUUGUCAUGCCAAUGGCAUUGCCCGGUAGCUAAGUGCGGAAGAGAUAACCGCUGAAAGCAUCUAAGCGGGAAACUUGCCUCGAGAUGAGUCUUCCCUGUCGCUUAAAGCGACCUAAAGGAACGUUUAAGACGAAGACGUUGAUAGGCUGGGUGUGUAAGCGUAGCGAUACGUUGAGCUAACCAGUACUAAUGAACCGUGAGGCUUAACCUGACAACACCGAAAGUGUUUUG